GGGCAAUUAGCUUAAUUGGUAGAGCAUCUAGUUUACACCUAGAAGGUUAGGAGUUCGAAUCUCUUAUUGCCUA
This 73-nucleotide transfer RNA is filed under the name Clydonella sawyeri. RNAcentral describes it as "tRNA-Val". It matches the Rfam family "tRNA". Rfam says of the family: Transfer RNA (tRNA) molecules are approximately 80 nucleotides in length. Their secondary structure includes four short double-helical elements and three loops (D, anti-codon, and T loops). Further hydrogen bonds mediate the characteristic L-shaped molecular structure. tRNAs have two regions of fundamental functional importance: the anti-codon, which is responsible for specific mRNA codon recognition, and the 3' end, to which the tRNAs corresponding amino acid is attached (by aminoacyl-tRNA synthetases). tRNAs cope with the degeneracy of the genetic code in two manners: having more than one tRNA (with a specific anti-codon) for a particular amino acid; and 'wobble' base-pairing, i.e. permitting non-standard base-pairing at the 3rd anti-codon position. The record is from RNAcentral. Lineage: Eukaryota; Discosea; Flabellinia; Vannellidae.